AAAUCUGAGGCUCAGAAAGAGUCCCACAGCUAGGAACUGGCAGGGCCAAGACUGCAACACUAAAGUCCAGCGCUUCGCCACCAUGCUGUACCCUGUCCCUAACCUGUGGGUGGGCAGAAGAGUCACUGGGACCCUUGCCUAAGAAGUUCUGGAGCCUGGG
Long non-coding RNA from Lemur catta (Ring-tailed lemur), 160 nucleotides. RefSeq lists it as uncharacterized. The transcript is spliced from 3 exons. NCBI's taxonomy places the organism in Eukaryota, Metazoa, Chordata, Mammalia, Primates, Lemuridae. The record is from RefSeq and is a predicted model, not a curated record.